AGUGAACGCUGGCGGCAGGCCUAACACAUGCAAGUCGAGCGGCAGCGUGUCCUGCGGGCUGCCGGCGAGCGGCGGACGGGUGAGGAAUGCAUCGGAAUCUGCCCUGUCGUGGGGGAUAACCUAGGGAAACUUAGGCUAAUACCGCAUACGACCCACGGGUGAAAGCGGGGGAUCGCAAGACCUCGCGCGCUAGGAUGAGCCGAUGACCGAUUAGCUAGUUGGCGGGGUAAAGGCCCACCAAGGCGACGAUCGGUAGCUGGUCUGAGAGGAUGAUCAGCCACACUGGGACUGAGACACGGCCCAGACUCCUACGGGAGGCAGCAGUGGGGAAUAUUGGACAAUGGGCGCAAGCCUGAUCCAGCCAUGCCGCGUGGGUGAAGAAGGCCUUCGGGUUGUAAAGCCCUUGUGUCCGGGAAGAAAGCGUCUGGGCUAAUACCCCGGGCGGAUGACGGUACCGGAAGAAUAAGCACCGGCUAACUUCGUG
Molecule: ribosomal RNA, 484 nt
Filed under: uncultured bacterium
Lineage: Bacteria
Description: partial 16S ribosomal RNA
Rfam family: Bacterial small subunit ribosomal RNA
Source: RNAcentral